ACGAAAAACACUCCGAUCCGCAAACAAACAGAUGAAGAAGAGGAGGAUGAUGACGGUCCAGCGCAUACAAGGAGAAAGUAACCAAGAGAAGUUUCAUCACAGAAGAAAUGGCAGAAGUUCCUCAGACAGCUGUGAACACUGAGCAGUGCUUGGAGUCAGACAGUAGACUUCAUCUUUAUUAUACUUCUCUGACUGGACUAGCAAGGAGCAGUUCGAGUCCAUGAGAAAAACUCAAAAGAAGAUACUUUGAAGAAUGCUGGUAAUCAAAACCAACAGGUUUGUCACGUGUAGACGACAUAAAGGAAGUAAAUGAUUUUCAUUUUUGGGUAAACUAUCUCUUUAAUUAGGAUGAUACACACUUUAAAUUUCAAUCAUACUGGACACAGCCACUUAAUGUGCUAGAAUUAAAUGGGUAAAUAAUAAUAAGUAAAUAGUCUUUCAAACAACAUGUGCUUUGAUACAAUAUAUAUACAUUUACUUUCAUUCAGUUUGGUGCAUUCAGAUAGACCUUUAGUAAUAGAUACUUGUGCAUUA
This is a long non-coding RNA of Sinocyclocheilus anshuiensis, 534 nucleotides long. RefSeq lists it as uncharacterized. The transcript has 3 exons. The record is from RefSeq and is a predicted model, not a curated record. NCBI's taxonomy places the organism in Eukaryota, Metazoa, Chordata, Actinopteri, Cypriniformes, Cyprinidae.